GUAAGCAGAGCAAAUGUACCUUGCAUGUCCACCUUUAGUUCAGGGGGCUCCCCAGCGUCUCUGGGGCCUGUCUUGUGGAGGCAGAGGGCCAUCCAUGGCUUCACAGGGCCUCCUGGGACCGGGGCAGACAGUGGCACUCUGCCAGCAUCCAGGAGCUUGCAGGGCCUGAUUUGGAGGUGCCAGGAGUACUCGGGUUAUUUCGGGAGCCGGAAAUUCAAUCCUUUGGACCUUUUACCUCCCCACCUUUAGCCAAGUUCUCUGGCAGCCUCCUUGUCCUGAGACUGGUGGCCUGAGGUCUUGCCGACUUCCCACCCCAAGUUAGCUUAGCCCAGCUCUUCCCAGAGAGAGGACACUUUCUCCUCCAGCCUCAGGGUGAGGUUCAGAGAGCAUGUACAUAUGAGGGAUUUUCUAAAUUAGUGUCAAGACAAAGAAAAAUUGUUUUAGAAGACUUGAAAUUAUUUUCUCUUUAAAAUACUACAAUCCAAGAUGUUGAGGCCAUUUCAAAAAAAACCUAAAUGAAAUGGGGUGAUGCAACCAAGAUGCAGAAAGGCUAAGUACAUUGCCAAGGUCCACACGCCAGUAACUGAACUAGACUGGGAGCCCAGAGUCUCCCGGCUGCGGUUGGUUGCAUCUUUAAAUGUCGGUGGUAGGCCACACGUAAAGACGCACGAGGAAAGCAGGAGGAAAAAUUGAGUAAAGACAUGAAACUACUUAACUGGAAAAGGUGAUUAGACAGCAGAGUGGAAUUGAUGAUUUGGUGCCUCCUUUUCCCUGGAGCAUCAUCCCGAGAGACCACACACAGUUAUGACAUAAAGUCCAGCUGAAACGUUCAUUCCAGAUCUCUCUGAAUGGGAUACAUUCAGGCUCAGGGAGCCGCUCUUAACCGACGGUGUUGCCUAGGACAGAGAGCUGUGGAGCAGCGGGGAUCAGGAAUUCUGAUUCGCUCACUUCACAUUUGACACAUACGCAGUGCCUCCUGUUGGCUGAACCCAACGACAAGCCAGGCGGCCAGGGAAACUAGGGGAUGCAGUCAGUAAAGGUCAACCUCGUGGGACACUGCAG
This 1062-nucleotide long non-coding RNA is filed under the name Equus asinus (donkey). RNAcentral describes it as "lncRNA (ENSEASG00005034681.1)". The record is from RNAcentral. Lineage: Eukaryota; Metazoa; Chordata; Mammalia; Perissodactyla; Equidae.